UCGGCGAACACUACUCAGAAAUUGAAAGGUAAGAGUACAGUUUCAGUUGCCAAAAAACCACCUCAGAGUAAGGGCAUCUGCCCGAAUCUAGGGCCUAGCUCUUCAAAGUCUCCUGGCCGUACCCCACUGUCCAUUGUGACUGUUCCCCAAUCUGCUGCCAAGUCAGAAACCGUCUCAAAGUCAGCAAAGACUGCCAUGAAGGGCCAGUACUCAGCCAAAGGGCCUCCCAAAAGCAGCAAGGCACCAGCUUCCUCCCAGAACCCACCCUCGUCUGGUAAGGGAGCAGACAGUGGAAAUAAAACACCUACUGCCAAGAAAAAGGAAGAGGAUGACCAUUAUUUUGUUAUGACUGGAAAUAAGAAGCUUAGAAAAUAAAUAUAUCUUUAUCGUUUCAACAAAUCAAGGCUAUCAGUGAACAGGGAUCCACAGGAUCCCCAAAGAUCUCCUGUCAGUCUGCCUGUCAGUCAGUCUGUCAGUCAGUCUGUCUGUCUGUCUGGAGAGCUGCAGACAUGAGGUCGAGAUGGGACAAAGCUGGGUCAGGAAGGGACGGAGUCACGUGCAUUUUGUAUGCUAAUGGACAAAUGUGUAAGUUUUGAUUUGUUUCGUCUUGUUACUGUCUGCUGUUUGAGGGAAAUGUAGAAGUCCGACAACACUACUAGAAUUUUAACUACCGGUGGUCUAAUUUUGAAUAGGUGUUAACUGUCGAGAUUAUCUGCUAAUGGCCACUCUGAUGCUCUUAAACACUAGCUACUGCGCUCAGUCACAAAGCCGUGGUCUGCUUGGCGUUGGUGUGUACCUAGAGUUCCAGCUCUGAAGGCUGGGCAGGCGUACAUAGUAAAACCUAGCAAGGUUCCGAAAUGCGCGGGUAAUAGCUACCUAAGGUAAUUCGUUGGUCUAGCAGUCCUAAGUACCAAUGACCCCUGCUGCUUAGUUUGAUAUUACUCUAAAUUAAAUGGAAUCCUUUUUAUUUAAAUCUCUAUAACCUUUCCAUAUCAGAAGGGACUUUUUUUUCUAAAUUAAACUGGGCUUUUAUUAAUAUUGGUAUCAUUUUAUAACCAAUAUUUUUGAUAAGAA
RNAcentral lists this long non-coding RNA (1074 nucleotides) under Rattus norvegicus (Norway rat). RNAcentral describes it as "long non-coding RNA NONRATT026656". The record is from RNAcentral. Lineage: Eukaryota; Metazoa; Chordata; Mammalia; Rodentia; Muridae.